Molecule: ribosomal RNA, 498 nt
Filed under: uncultured bacterium
Lineage: Bacteria
Description: partial 16S ribosomal RNA
Rfam family: Bacterial small subunit ribosomal RNA
Source: RNAcentral
GACGAACGCUGGCGGCGUGCCUAAUACAUGCAAGUCGAACGAGAGCGCCCGGUGCUUGCACUGGUCAAUCUAGUGGCGAACGGGUGAGUAACACGUGGGUAACCUGCCCAUCAGAGGGGGAUAACAUCCGGAAACGGAUGCUAAAACCGCAUAGGUCUUCGAACCGCAUGGUUUGAAGGGGAAAAGAGGCGCAAGCUUCUGCUGAUGGAUGGACCCGCGGUGCAUUAGCUAGUUGGUGAGGUAACGGCUCACCAAGGCCGUGAUGCAUAGCCGACCUGAGAGGGUGAUCGGCCACAUUGGGACUGAGACACGGCCCAAACUCCUACGGGAGGCAGCAGUAGGGAAUCUUCCGCAAUGGACGCAAGUCUGACGGAGCAACGCCGCGUGAGUGAAGAAGGUUUUCGGAUCGUAAAACUCUGUUGUUAGAGAAGAACAAGUGCUAGAGUAACUGUUAGCGCCUUGACGGUAUCUAACCAGAAAGCCACGGCUAACUACGUG